UGGAAUUAUAAUUAAUACCGGCUUGUCUUAUCCUCUCCCUCUCUCGAGAUUCCUACAAGUCGCCUCCAUGUCCGCAGCCGAUCGUGACGCCGACGACCGCCAGGCCGCCUUCCUCAUCAUCUCCUCCUUCACUUGGAUACGAUCGGCGACCUCUAUUGCUCCUCCGCCUGAUGUCUCGGAUGUCGGACAAUCAUCACCAUUGUUGCCAUUUCGAGGAUUUCAGUUCUAGGUCUGCUAACAAAUGACUAUAAUUUUGAUCGCAAGUUGACAAUCUUGGCCUAGAGUGCUUCCGAAGUGGGUUCAUUGAUUCUAGGUAUCAAAUACUGUUUUCAAAGGAGAAGAUGAUGGUGGUGGAGAAGCUCUCUUCCUUAUAAGAUGAAGAAUAGGGUGGUUAAAAUUGUUAUGAUCCUAUUAAUUGCCCAUGCAUUGGCAGUCAAAUUUUUGUGAGCUGGGGACAGGACCUAAUUUGUUGAAAUGGGAAAAUGAUGGUACAGUAUUCAUGAGAAGGCUUUGGGUUUGGGGACAAAAUUAGGGAUCAAAUUAUCAAUGUAUAUUUUGGGCUGCGUUUAAUCCGAACAUGGUAUUGAAAAUUAUUGUGGUCAAUUGUUAAAUUCGUUUCCAAAUUUGGAAAGUGCACAUGGAAUAAUCUUUUAGUAAAUUAAGGAUUUGGGAAUUAUCUUCUUGGUUUCAAUUGUAUUUACAUAUGAUGCUAUCAUCCUUGUAAUUUAUAUUGUCAAGUAUAGUUGUUCUAUUGUAAUAUGUCAAAUUUAAGUUGAGUUUCAAUCUGUUUGUUUUUAAAUCUCAGUAACAUUAGCAAUUGUUUUUAUUGAGAUUUAAAUCAAAGUUUCAAAUUGGUUUAUAUUGUUUUCUAUGUUUUUCUUUUAUUUCUUAAUUCAAAAUCAUGUUUUUUAUGUUAUGGAAUGGGAUGUUGUGCAGGUGGAUAUCUGUUAAGGGGUUUAUGAUGUUAUGGGAAUCUUAUGGUUUAUCUUAUUGAAUUUAAAAUAGACAUUAUUUUUUUAAUUUUAUGAUUCUCAAAUUAAGAAAUUGAUGUCUAUUUAAAAUCACAAAAUAACUUUGGUUGAUAUUAUCUCCUUUCCAAAAGUGACUUUUAUUUUGGAUAUAUGAUAUGGUUUGAUUUGAUGGAAUCAACAUGACAAGUGUGUCCUUGUAGCUGAAUUUUUACAUGAUAAUGAUAUGCGACAAUUUGUGUGGUUAAGUGGUGCAGGUAUAUCUUGCAGUCAACUGAAUUAUAUGCCAUUGUUCUGUCUAUCUUGCAAUUAAUGGUUCUCUCUUGUUAAACAUGUUGUCUGCUAUCUGUUUUUAUUGUUUCCGAAUCCUUUCUUUUGUUUACUGCUUGUCUAUAUAUUGUUGUUAUUGUAACCUAUUGCUGAUAGUAAUAUUACUCAUGACUUUUACUGAAUUUAUCAUUCUUUUGAAUUCUCAGCAACAAGUUUAGGUAGAAAUUGGAGGGGAUUAGUGCUCAUAUAGUGGUAUACUGGAAAUGUUAUUAGGUUCAAGUGUUGCUUUAAACAAGAAGGAGAAAGAAAUUUACUGUCAAGACUGACUGAGAUUAAAAAGUUUGAUCACAGGAUCUCAUCAAGGAAUUCUACAGAUGAUGAUCCUUCUGUUAUGGUGAAUGGUCACUUUGAUAGUCCGCCUGGUUCUCCUGGUGCAGCGGACUGUGGUUCCUAUGAUGCAUCAAUGCCCGAAACAACACGGCAAAUAGUUGAUUCUAGCUAGGUCCCUCCGCGACAAAUAAUUUUUCUUUUCAAUGGUGCUGAGGAAGUUUUUCUUUUGGAUAUAUUUGGCAUCAUUCCUGGGGAUACAGAUUACCAGAUUUUUGCUAAAGAUAAUGGCGAUAUUCAAGGACUGGACAUUAUCUUUGUCCUUGGUGGUUAUUUCUAUCAUACAUCUUACGAUACAAUCGAAAGGCUAUUGUAUGCAUUAGGAAGUACUGUUAUUCAAAUUCUCUGUUUUGAAUAUCUUGAUCUUGAUAUCUUCACUAAGUGGGUUUUGAUAUUAGAAUGUAUUGAUGAAACAGUCCCGGAAGUAUUCCAGGACUGGAUCUUGUUUGUUCCCCAGCAACAAGGCUGCAAUACUGAAUUUUAAUGUUGCAUGUGGAAUGGAGUUUUAAUGUUGUUUUGAUACAAGUGUUUGUAUAGUUAUACUACAUGAUUUCCAAUGUAUAUAUAGGGCAUCUA
Long non-coding RNA from Dioscorea cayenensis subsp. rotundata (Guinea yam), 2201 nucleotides. RefSeq lists it as uncharacterized. The transcript is spliced from 9 exons. The record is from RefSeq and is a predicted model, not a curated record. Lineage: Eukaryota; Viridiplantae; Streptophyta; Magnoliopsida; Dioscoreales; Dioscoreaceae.